This 344-nucleotide ribosomal RNA is filed under the name uncultured bacterium. Its description in RNAcentral is "partial 16S ribosomal RNA". It matches the Rfam family "Bacterial small subunit ribosomal RNA", at positions 338 to 699 of the family's 1533-position model. The record is from RNAcentral.
CCUACGGGUGGCAGCAGUGGGGAAUAUUGCUCAAUGGGCGAAACUCUGAUGCAGCGACGCCGCGUGCAGGAAGAAGGCUUUCGGUAUGUAAACCUCUAUUAGUAGGGAAGUAAAUGCCGGUACCUGACUCUGUAGCCCCGGCUAACUACGUGCCAGCAGCCGCGGUAAUACGUAGGGGGUAAGCGUUAUCCGGAUUUACUGGGUGUAAAGGGAGCGUAGGCGGUUUAGCAAGUCAGAAGUGAAAGCCCGGGGCUCAACUCCGGGACUGCUUUUGAAACUGUUGAACUAGAUUGCAGGAGAGGUAAGUGGAAUGCCUGGUGUAGCGGUGAAAUGCGUAGAUAUUA